AUUGAACGCUGGCGGCAGGCUUAACACAUGCAAGUCGAGCGGAGUGAUGGUGCUUGCACCAUCACUUAGCGGCGAACGGGUGAGUAAUGCCUAGGAAUCUGCCCAUUAGCGGGGGACAACGUGUGGAAACGCACGCUAAUACCGCAUACGCCCUACGGGGAAGCAGGGACGUCUUUUAGUAGCCUUGCACUAAUGGAUGAGCCUAGGUCGGAUUAGUCAGUUGGUGGGGUAAAGGCCUACCAAGGCGACGAUCUGUAGCGGGUCUGAGAGGAUGAUCCGCCACACUGGAACUGAGACACGGUCCAGACUCCUACGGGAGGCAGCAGUGGGAAUAUUGGACAAUGGCGCAAGCCUGAUCCAGCGAUGCCGCGUGUGUGAAGAAGGCCUG
This 388-nucleotide ribosomal RNA is filed under the name uncultured bacterium. RNAcentral's name for it is "bacterial SSU rRNA". It matches the Rfam family "Bacterial small subunit ribosomal RNA", at positions 30 to 418 of the family's 1533-position model. The record is from RNAcentral.